RNAcentral lists this ribosomal RNA (429 nucleotides) under Bacteroidota bacterium. Its description in RNAcentral is "Bacteroidetes bacterium partial 16S ribosomal RNA". It matches the Rfam family "Bacterial small subunit ribosomal RNA", at positions 355 to 776 of the family's 1533-position model. The record is from RNAcentral. Lineage: Bacteria; Pseudomonadati; Bacteroidota.
UAGGGAAUCUUCGGCAAUGGGGGGAACCCUGACCGAGCAACGCCGCGUGAGUGAAGAAGGUUUUCGGUUCGUAAAGCUCUGUUGUUAAGGAAGAACGAGUGUGAGAAUGGAAAGUUCAUGCUGUGACGGUACUUAACCAGAAAGGGACGGCUAACUACGUGCCAGCAGCCGCGGUAAUACGUAGGUCCCGAGCGUUGUCCGGAUUUAUUGGGCGUAAAGCGAGCGCAGGCGGUUAGAUAAGUCUGAAGUUAAAGGCAGUGGCUCAACCAUUGUAGGCUUUGGAAACUGUUUAACUUGAGUGCAGAAGGGGAGAGUGGAAUUCCAUGUGUAGCGGUGAAAUGCGUAGAUAUAUGGAGGAACACCGGUGGCGAAAGCGGCUCUCUGGUCUGUAACUGACGCUGAGGCUCGAAAGCGUGGGGAGCGAACAGG